UACGGGGGGGGCAAGCGUUGUUCGGAAUUACUGGGCGUAAGGGGCGCGUAGGCGGCGCAACAAGUCACUUGUGAAAUCUCCGGGCUUAACCCGGAGCGGUCAAGUGAUACUGUCGUGCUAGAGUGCGGAAGGGGCUACUGGAAUUCUCGGUGUAGCGGUGAAAUGCGUAGAUAUCGAGAGGAACACCUGCGGCGAAGGCGGGUAGCUGGGCCGACACUGACGCUGAUGCGCGAAAGCCAGGGGAGCGAACGGG
This 253-nucleotide ribosomal RNA is filed under the name uncultured bacterium. RNAcentral describes it as "partial 16S ribosomal RNA". It matches the Rfam family "Bacterial small subunit ribosomal RNA", at positions 524 to 776 of the family's 1533-position model. The record is from RNAcentral.